Molecule: ribosomal RNA, 744 nt
Filed under: uncultured bacterium
Lineage: Bacteria
Description: bacterial SSU rRNA
Rfam family: Bacterial small subunit ribosomal RNA
Source: RNAcentral
AGAGUUUGAUCAUGGCUCAGAGCGAACGCUGGCGGCAGGCUUAACACAUGCAAGUCGAGCGGGCAUUUUCGGAUGUCAGCGGCAGACGGGUGAGUAACACGUGGGAACGUACCCUUCGGUUCGGAAUAACGCUGGGAAACUAGCGCUAAUACCGGAUACGCCCUUUUGGGGAAAGGUUUACUGCCGAAGGAUCGGCCCGCGUCUGAUUAGCUAGUUGGUGGGGUAACGGCCUACCAAGGCGACGAUCAGUAGCUGGUCUGAGAGGAUGAUCAGCCACACUGGGACUGAGACACGGCCCAGACUCCUACGGGAGGCAGCAGUGGGGAAUAUUGGACAAUGGGCGCAAGCCUGAUCCAGCCAUGCCGCGUGAGUGAUGAAGGCCUUAGGGUUGUAAAGCUCUUUUGUCCGGGACGAUAAUGACGGUACCGGAAGAAUAAGCCCCGGCUAACUUCGUGCCAGCAGCCGCGGUAAUACGAAGGGGGCUAGCGUUGCUCGGAAUCACUGGGCGUAAAGGGCGCGUAGGCGGCCAUUCAAGUCGGGGGUGAAAGCCUGUGGCUCAACCACAGAAUUGCCUUCGAUACUGUUUGGCUUGAGUAUGGUAGAGGUUGGUGGAACUGCGAGUGUAGAGGUGAAAUUCGUAGAUAUUCGCAAGAACACCGGUGGCGAAGGCGGCCAACUGGACCAUUACUGACGCUGAGGCGCGAAAGCGUGGGGAGCAAACAGGAUUAGAUACCCNNGUAGUCC